This is a long non-coding RNA of Odontomachus brunneus, 575 nucleotides long. RefSeq lists it as uncharacterized. NCBI's taxonomy places the organism in Eukaryota, Metazoa, Arthropoda, Insecta, Hymenoptera, Formicidae. The record is from RefSeq and is a predicted model, not a curated record. The transcript is spliced from 2 exons.
GCAGCCAUGAACACACAUCGAUCCACAUCGAUCCGCAUUUCUCGCGUCUUUUAUACGUCGAAGUGAGUCUCGCGCGUUAAUAAGUCUCGGGAGUGUCGAGAAUAAUGAUGUGCGAUUGCCGGGGCAUAUCGUGAAGACGUCAUUUAUAGGACAGCCUGCCAGGAAAGAGAAUAAGCCACGAAUCCGCCUACGAGGAGAUGAUACAACAGCAGACUUUGCUGCUUCGAUCUCUACAGCGACGAGACAUCACUGGAGGAAACCGAAGAAGGUGAACACGGUGAAAUCAUCGCUGGCAGCAACAUGAUAGAUACAUUCCCUCGUCGCGAGCAGCGACGUCUACUUCGCAACAGUAGCAGUAUCCAAGAACAUCUUCGUCAACGUAGUCUAGAGAAGUCUUCUCUACAGUCGACAGAUUUUCUAGAGCUUCCAUCGUCGCUGUCCUCAACAUGGCUGUCUAUGGCACACCGAGAUUUUCAACUCCGUCUGUAAUGAAGAAAACGAGCGAUAAGCUACAAAGCCGUAUUAUUUAAAGAAGUACUACAUAUAUAUACAUAUAUAAAUUUUUUUUUAAAGAG